GUCCACGCCGUAAACGAUGGAUACUAGCUGUUCGGAGCAAUCUGAGUGGCUAAGCGAAAGUGAUAAGUAUCCCACCUGGGGAGUACGCACGCAAGUGUGAAACUCAAAGGAAUUGACGGGGGCCCCGCACAAGCGGUGGAGCAUGUGGUUUAAUUCGAUGAUACGCGAGGAACCUUACCAGGGCUUAAAUGUAGAUUGACAGGACUGGAAACAGUUUUUUCUUCGGACAAUUUACAAGGUGCUGCAUGGUUGUCGU
RNAcentral lists this ribosomal RNA (256 nucleotides) under uncultured bacterium. RNAcentral describes it as "partial 16S ribosomal RNA". It matches the Rfam family "Bacterial small subunit ribosomal RNA", at positions 793 to 1055 of the family's 1533-position model. The record is from RNAcentral.